This 504-nucleotide ribosomal RNA is filed under the name uncultured bacterium. Its description in RNAcentral is "partial 16S ribosomal RNA". It matches the Rfam family "Bacterial small subunit ribosomal RNA", at positions 30 to 523 of the family's 1533-position model. The record is from RNAcentral.
AUUGAACGCUGGCGGCAGGCCUAACACAUGCAAGUCGAACGGUAGCACAGAGAGCUUGCUCUCGGGUGACGAGUGGCGGACGGGUGAGUAACGUCUGGGAAACUGCCCGAUGGAGGGGGAUAACUACUGGAAACGGUAGCUAAUACCGCAUAACGUCGCAAGACCAAAGUGGGGGACCUUCGGGCCUCACACCAUCGGAUGUGCCCAGAUGGGAUUAGCUAGUCGGUGGGGUAAUGGCUCACCUAGGCGACGAUCCCUAGCUGGUAUGAGAGGCUGAACGACCACACUGAAACUGAGGCACGGUCCAGACUCCUACGGGAGGCAGCAGUGUGGAAUAUUGCACAAUGGGCGCAAGCCUGAUGCAGCCAUGCCGCGUGUAUGAAGAAGGCCUUCGGGUUGUAAAGUACUUUCAGCGGGGAGGAAGGCGGUGGAGUUAAUAACUUCACCGAUUGACGUUACCCGCAGAAGAAGCACCGGCUAACUCCGUGCCAGCCGCCGCGGUAA